Molecule: ribosomal RNA, 460 nt
Filed under: uncultured bacterium
Lineage: Bacteria
Description: partial 16S ribosomal RNA
Rfam family: Bacterial small subunit ribosomal RNA
Source: RNAcentral
CCUACGGGUGGCAGCAGUGAGGAAUAUUGGUCAAUGGCCGUAAGGCUGAACCAGCCAAGUAGCGUGAGGGAAGACUGCCCUAUGGGUUGUAAACCUCUUUUAUGCGGGGAUGAAGGUGUCCACGUGUGGAUGUUUGCAGUUACCGCCUGAAUACGGACAGGCUAAUUCCGUGCCAGUAGCCGCGGUAAUACGGAAGGUCAGGGGGUUACCCGGCUUGAUUGGGUUUAAGGGGAGCGUGGGCCGGUCUUUAAGCGUGUCGUGAAAUUUUGUGGCUCAACCAUGAGAGUGCGGUGCGAACUGGAGACCUAGAGUGCGCGGAAGGCAGGCGGAAUUCGUGGUGUAGCGGUGAAAUGCGUAGAUAUAACGAAGAACCCCGAAUGCGAAGGCAGCCUGCCGCAUCGUUACUGACGCUGAAGCUCGAAAGCGCGGGUAGCGAACAGGAUUAGAUACCCUUGUAGUC